RNAcentral lists this long non-coding RNA (510 nucleotides) under Naja naja (Indian cobra). RNAcentral's name for it is "lncRNA (ENSNNAG00000011308.1)". The record is from RNAcentral. Lineage: Eukaryota; Metazoa; Chordata; Lepidosauria; Squamata; Elapidae.
CUGCUACUCAGAAAUUCCCGCAUCAGAACUUCCUAUACCAUCGAGAUCACUCUGGAGGUUGUCUUAGAGGAGGCUGAUUCUUUAUUAUUUGGUCCUUUGACACAGCCUGGAACAAGAACACAACUUAGGGCAGCUUGGAAGCCAGAUUUUAUCACUGCAAAGCUCCUUAGAGUUGCUCCUGGGAUGUAGGUGUCCCCCUAUCUCUGGGAUUCUUUUUAAAACAUAUUUGAUGUGGAUAGGCAUAUGUAUGCUAUUGUAAUGGCACAUGGUAAUGGCCUUGGGAGACAGAGGGAAGAUGUGCAACCCACAUGGUAAUGGCCUUGGGAGACAGAGGGAAGAUGCGCAACCAGGGCAAUGGUUGAACAAGUGGCAACUUAGCCCACAGCAAGAAUUCGUCUCUAAGAAGUUUACAGAGCCUCCAACAAUCUGGUCCUCAUUUUACUGACCUCAGAAGGAUGAAAGGCUGAGCCAAUCUUGAACCUGUGAGGAUUGAACUCCUGGCAGUGAGCU